This 434-nucleotide long non-coding RNA is filed under the name Numida meleagris (helmeted guineafowl). RNAcentral's name for it is "lncRNA (ENSNMEG00000017438.1)". Lineage: Eukaryota; Metazoa; Chordata; Aves; Galliformes; Numididae. The record is from RNAcentral.
UGUUGAUGGGAUCUGAGUUUAAUAGGCCACAAACACCAGUCCUUUAGAGCCUCCAGGCUCUAGAGGCUUUUAAAAUAUCAGUUUUCACUUGCUAAUAUGACAGCGACGUCACACUGAUGUAUCACAAGAUCCCCAAGGCCCCUGGACACCAAAUAUUUAACCCCAGGGGAGAUUUAAGCAUCUCCUACCUGUGACUGAUAAGCCCAGCUUCUGUGUAGGCCUUUGGUGCGCACAUGGUGACUCUUGGUUCCACAACCGUUUUGAUAACUGUAUAUUAACCGAGGAGGGAGUGAACAAGCAGAAAGCGAAGGCACACCUCUAAAUACAUGAUAUUUAAGGCUUUCCUCAUUAUUAUAAAUGUAAUGAACACAUCCCAGCUGAAAUUUAUAGACUUUCCAAAGCAACACUUCAGUCCAUUUAGUGAUGAACGCAUG